This 23-nucleotide non-coding RNA is filed under the name Arabidopsis thaliana (thale cress). The record is from RNAcentral. Lineage: Eukaryota; Viridiplantae; Streptophyta; Magnoliopsida; Brassicales; Brassicaceae.
UCGAAUGGAACGCAAUCUUGAUG